RNAcentral lists this ribosomal RNA (253 nucleotides) under uncultured bacterium. Its description in RNAcentral is "partial 16S ribosomal RNA". It matches the Rfam family "Bacterial small subunit ribosomal RNA", at positions 524 to 776 of the family's 1533-position model. The record is from RNAcentral.
UACGGAGGCUGCAAGCGUUAUCCGGAAUGAUUGGGCGUAAAGCGUCCGCAGGUGGCUGUGUAAGUCUGCUGUUAAAGAGUGAGGCUCAACCUCAUAAAGGCAGUGGAAACUACAUGGCUAGAGUGCGUUCGGGGCAGAGGGAAUUCCUGGUGUAGCGGUGAAAUGCGUAGAGAUCAGGAAGAACACCCGUGGCGAAAGCGCUCUGCUAGGCCGCAACUGACACUGAGGGACGAAAGCUAGGGGAGCGAAUGGG